GUCGGAGUGGCGGAAUAGGCAGACGCGCUAGCUUGAGGGGCUAGUGUCCGAAAGGACGUGGGGGUUCAAGUCCCCCCUCCGACA
RNAcentral lists this transfer RNA (84 nucleotides) under Acidimicrobiales bacterium. RNAcentral describes it as "tRNA-Leu". It matches the Rfam family "tRNA". From Rfam's summary of the family: Transfer RNA (tRNA) molecules are approximately 80 nucleotides in length. Their secondary structure includes four short double-helical elements and three loops (D, anti-codon, and T loops). Further hydrogen bonds mediate the characteristic L-shaped molecular structure. tRNAs have two regions of fundamental functional importance: the anti-codon, which is responsible for specific mRNA codon recognition, and the 3' end, to which the tRNAs corresponding amino acid is attached (by aminoacyl-tRNA synthetases). tRNAs cope with the degeneracy of the genetic code in two manners: having more than one tRNA (with a specific anti-codon) for a particular amino acid; and 'wobble' base-pairing, i.e. permitting non-standard base-pairing at the 3rd anti-codon position. Lineage: Bacteria; Bacillati; Actinomycetota; Acidimicrobiia; Acidimicrobiales. The record is from RNAcentral. RNAcentral also lists the same sequence under 3 other names.